Long non-coding RNA from Thunnus maccoyii (southern bluefin tuna), 870 nucleotides. RefSeq lists it as uncharacterized. The transcript is spliced from 3 exons. The record is from RefSeq and is a predicted model, not a curated record. Lineage: Eukaryota; Metazoa; Chordata; Actinopteri; Scombriformes; Scombridae.
GAAAGGGAAACGCGUCAUGUAUUAUAGAAGCUAUCUUUAUUUACAAUAUCAGUGUUUCAACUCAGACUGGUGACCUCGGUGUUAUUUGCACUAAUUAGCCUACCUUUAUAUUCUAAUGAACAACGGACGUCGCAGCUGUUAAGUUCAAUUAAAGUCGUUAACUUCUUUACCUGGCGCAUCUACGUAUGGCAGCAUGUGCUGACAGAUUUGGUGAGAGUGGCUGCAGAUGACAGCUCUUGCCUGGAUCUUCCCCAUCCUUUUCAGCUCAGCUAUGCUCCCAUGCAGGCCGGGCCAAGAGAGAAGCAGUGAAUGCACCUCCUCGCAGUAAAAAAGGUGAUGGAAUCCCGACCACCAUGCAUCAUACUGUAAGUGCCUGUCACCUCUUCGUGGUGGUGGCCCUCUGCUGAGCACAAAGUGCCUGAGCUGAAGACUUCUGCUUGGCCUUAUUUUGCUUGUUUACCCCUCAGCUAAGGUUGAUGAUUUACUAUGUGGUGGGUACUGACUGAUUUGAUUUGCUUAUAAUCAAUCUGUGUGUAUUUAAUACCUUGAUAUAUUGCCACACUGUGCGCUGUCCUCCGUUCUUUAUCUUAACUGUGGAAGGGAGGCCUCCACACAGCUGCACCUUCUUCCGGGGAAAUCAACGCACCUGAUUGCCCCCCUUUUUUUGACCUUGGUUGUCCGUUGGUUCCCCUACUUGCCUUAAAUGUAAGUCCUGUUUUUCCCUCUAAGUUUUUAACCAUGUAACUGUCCAAAUAAAGGAAAGAAAGACAGUAUUUGAAAUGUUAUUGGUGAGCCCAGGACAUAGACAUACUGUAUAAUCUCUUGCCCAUUCUGAUUUUUUUUUUUAGAACAUUGUGACAUAUCUCUCGU